Molecule: ribosomal RNA, 441 nt
Filed under: uncultured bacterium
Lineage: Bacteria
Description: partial 16S ribosomal RNA
Rfam family: Bacterial small subunit ribosomal RNA
Source: RNAcentral
CCUACGGGAGGCAGCAGUGGGGGAUAUUGCACAAUGGGGGGAACCCUGAUGCAGCGACGCCGCGUGGGUGAAGGAGUGCUUCGGAAUGUAAAGCUCUAUCUGCAGGGAAGAAGCAAGACGGUACCUGACUAAGAAGCACCGGCUAACCACGUGCCAGCAGCCGCGGUAAUACGUAGGGGGCGAGCGUUAUCCGGAUGCACUGGGUGUAAAGGGAGCGUAGACGGCCAAGCAAGGCAGGGGUGAAAGCCCGGGGCCCAACCCCGGGACUGCCCUUGGAACUGCAUGGCUGGAGUGCGGGAGGGGCAGGCGGAAUGCCUGGUGUAGCGGUGAAAUGCUUAGAUAUCAGAAGGAACACCGACGGCGAAGGCAGCCUGCUGGGCCGCUUCUGACGUUGAGGCACGAAAGCGUGGGGAGCGAACAGGAUUAGAUACCCGGGUAGUC